CCAGCUUAGAAAGAAGGCAAUGCAUCAGAAACUUCUGUGGUCUUCACGCUCCCUUACCAAGUGUAGGUGUGUGGUAAAUUGGUCCCAAUCAUGCUAAACCAAAAAGCACCGGAGGAAAAAGAAACAUAGCUCUUCAUGGAUGAAGCGCUCCCUGGUUUCCCAGCAAGCCAGUUAUUGUGAAAAGCUGUUCCUGUGUUUGCAGCCCCCUCACAUCCAGGAAUGACAACAGUCAGACUUUUGGAUGCUAAAUGACAGGAUAUAGCAAAAUGAUGGACUGGCCUUCUUUACUGAGAAACACUGGUGACAGAU
Long non-coding RNA from Tupaia belangeri chinensis (Chinese tree shrew), 309 nucleotides. RefSeq lists it as uncharacterized. The transcript has 3 exons. Lineage: Eukaryota; Metazoa; Chordata; Mammalia; Scandentia; Tupaiidae. The record is from RefSeq and is a predicted model, not a curated record.